AGCAGCCGCGGUAAUUCCAGCUCCAAUAGCGUAUAUUAAAGUUGUUGCAGUUAAAAAGCUCGUAGUUGAAUUUCGGGACCAAUAUGUCGGUCGUGCCUCGGUACGUACUGGUGUCAUUGGUUUCUCCCUUCUGAGGAUCCUUGAUGUCAUUAAUUUGGUGUCUUGGGGAAUCAGGACUGUUACCUUGAAAAAUUAGAGUGUUUAAAGCAGGCACGCGCUUGAAUACAUUAGCAUGGAAUAAUGAAAUAGGACGUUCGAUUCUAUUUUGUUGGUUUCUAGGAUCGACGUAAUGAUUAAUAGGGGUAGUUGGGGGC
Molecule: ribosomal RNA, 314 nt
Filed under: uncultured Glomus
Lineage: Eukaryota; Fungi; Glomeromycota; Glomeromycetes; Glomerales; Glomeraceae
Description: SSU rRNA
Rfam family: Eukaryotic small subunit ribosomal RNA
Source: RNAcentral